ACAAGGCAAGGUGGCUCCUCCUGUUGCCCACGAUGCAAGGUCGUCCAGGGCUGAGAUGAACACAGGAGCCUAAGUGGAAGGUUUGCUGCAGAGUUAUGUGGCUGCUGUUCAAGGCUGUUGUCUUCUCGGGACUCGAAGCAGAGUGGGAUGAGGUGGCUGUGCCGCUGGCUUUAGCACUUGGCCAAAGGAGGCCAGCAGGACAUGGUAUGGGGGAAAUGAGGCUUCACCCAUGACGACUUCUGACUUAGACCAAAAGGCAAAGCUGAGGCCGGGGAGAUGGCUCUGUGGUAAGAGCUCUGUGCUGUGCAAGCCUCAGGACUUACGUUCCACUGUCCAGCACCCAGAUCUGCAUGACCUUCCAGCUCGACUUUCCCCUGCAGUCCAGACCAAUGACAUGGAAGACAGACAAACUCAAAUGGAAGGACAUUCCACACAGUAUGUGACCACUCCUUCACAACUUCAAAGCCAUGAAAAAUAAGGCUAAGACAAGAAACUAUUACAGGUCCUGGGAGAGAGGGUGAUCAAACACAGGCAGUGUGGUUUCCUGGGUCAGACCCGGAUCAGAAAACAAGCACUGGGCGAGAAACAGGUGGAUCAAAACGAGUGGGGAGUGUGGCUAACCGUGGUGUGUGAUGAGAGAGUAGUGGGUAGACCAGAACAAGUGGGGAGUGUGGCUAACAGUGGUGUGUGAUGGGAGAGUA
RNAcentral lists this long non-coding RNA (701 nucleotides) under Rattus norvegicus (Norway rat). Its description in RNAcentral is "long non-coding RNA NONRATT027102". The record is from RNAcentral. Lineage: Eukaryota; Metazoa; Chordata; Mammalia; Rodentia; Muridae.